UUANNNACUCUUGACNUCNACNGAACUUAGCAGAGAUGCUUCGGUGCCUUCGGGAACUGUGAGACAGGUGCUGCAUGGCUGUCGUCAGCUCGUGUUGUGAAAUGUUGGGUUAAGUCCCGCAACGAGCGCAACCCUUAUCCUUUGUUGCCAGCACGUAAUGGUGGGAACUCAAGGGAGACUGCCGGUGACAAACCGGAGGAAGGUGGGGAUGACGUCAAGUCAUCAUGGCCCUUACGAGUAGGGCUACACACGUGCUACAAUGGCAGAUACAAAGUGAAGCGAACUCGCGAGAGCAAGCGGACCACAUAAAGUCUGUCGUAGUCCGGAUUGGAGUCUGCAACUCGACUCCAUGAAGUCGGAAUCGCUAGUAAUCGUAGAUCAGAAUGCUACGGUGAAUANGUUCCCGGG
This 408-nucleotide ribosomal RNA is filed under the name Yersinia sp. AZTITEMP289. Its description in RNAcentral is "bacterial SSU rRNA". It matches the Rfam family "Bacterial small subunit ribosomal RNA", at positions 971 to 1378 of the family's 1533-position model. The record is from RNAcentral. Lineage: Bacteria; Pseudomonadati; Pseudomonadota; Gammaproteobacteria; Enterobacterales; Yersiniaceae.